RNAcentral lists this ribosomal RNA (668 nucleotides) under Limosilactobacillus fermentum. RNAcentral's name for it is "bacterial SSU rRNA". It matches the Rfam family "Bacterial small subunit ribosomal RNA", at positions 48 to 669 of the family's 1533-position model. The record is from RNAcentral. Lineage: Bacteria; Bacillati; Bacillota; Bacilli; Lactobacillales; Lactobacillaceae.
UUAAUACAUGCAAGUCGAACGCGUUGUGUGCCCAAUUGAUUGAUGGUGCUUGCACCUGAUUGAUUUUGGUCGCCAACGAGUGGCGGACGGGUGAGUAACACGUAGGUAACCUGCCCAGAAGCGGGGGACAACAUUUGGAAACAGAUGCUAAUACCGCAUAACAACGUUGUUCGCAUGAACAACGCUUAAAAGAUGGCUUCUCGCUAUCACUUCUGGAUGGACCUGCGGUGCAUUAGCUUGUUGGUGGGGUAACGGCCUACCAAGGCGAUGAUGCAUAGCCGAGUUGAGAGACUGAUCGGCCACAAUGGGACUGAGACACGGCCCAUACUCCUACGGGAGGCAGCAGUAGGGAAUCUUCCACAAUGGGCGCAAGCCUGAUGGAGCAACACCGCGUGAGUGAAGAAGGGUUUCGGCUCGUAAAGCUCUGUUGUUAAAGAAGAACACGUAUGAGAGUAACUGUUCAGACGUUGACGGUAUUUAACCAGAAAGUCACGGCUAACUACGUGCCAGCAGCCGCGGUAAUACGUAGGUGGCAAGCGUUAUCCGGAUUUAUUGGGCGUAAAGAGAGUGCAGGCGGUUUUCUAAGUCUGAUGUGAAAGCCUUCGGCUUAACCGGAGAAGUGCAUCGGAAACUGGAUAACUUGGGUGCAGAAAAGGGUAGUGGAACUC